AUCAAAUUUUUCCCAGACUCUUUGUAUCCUUUUUUUUCAAUUUGGUCUAUCCUCAUUGUCCAAUAAACAAUGUUCAUUCCCACUAGCACCCCAAUCCGUCUUCUGUCUUCCUUUAGUGCCAUUUUGGAUUUAAAUUUUGAGCAUUUAUUAAUUCUGUUACUAAUUAACCUUCCACCUUCCACCUUUCACUCCACCAAUCAAAUUUCUUCUCUAGAUGUUUCCCCAAUUAUCUCUUCCACUCAUAUCAUAAAUCUUCCUCAUCUCCCUCCAUAUCUGGAUUCUUCAUCCUCUACCCCUCCAUUCGACGCUUAACCCAUGAAACGCUCCUCAUCAUUAUCCUCAUCACAGUUUUACUUCCCAUAACCUAUCUUUCAUUCACAUGGCUUCUUCUCCCCAGUCAUUUUUAUUCAUCUCCACAGUCAUCAUUCUCACCACUGCUCUCUCUCUCUCUCUCUUUAUUUCUCCCUCUCGCUCUCUCUGGCGCUGACUCCCUCACUCUCCUUCGUUCCGUCUCUGUUUCGUUCCUUCAGAUCUCUUCUCCGAUUCCGGCCAGUUUUCAUGGCCUUUCUCUUGGCUGGGGAGAUUUCAGAGUUCUCUGCGGAUUCAGAUUUCAGAACCCCUCCUCCUCCAACAGAACCUGCCGGUUUUGACGUUUAAUUCUCCUCCCUAUUUUCAUUAUGAUUUAGAGUUUUCAAUUUCCUAAUUUUUUAGGUUUCUUUCCUAAUUUUCAUUGGAUCUUCAAAAAUUAAUUGAAUUGUUGACAGAUUAAAAAAACCGAUAUGUAAUUUUUAGUUUUUUCUAUAUCAACAGAACAGAGAUGAUUGAUGUCUACUGAGAGCUUUGGACUUAUUGGUUUUUUUGCAGUUGUUUUGUGUGGUGAUAUUAGCUAUGUAUGGACAAUGAGGGUUUGAGCUGGAUUCAAGUAUAUAAAGAGGAUCAUGUCCUCGCGCAGCAUCUUGCUGUUGCUUCACCAACCCUGCCAAGUUGAAUCAAAAGCAUGAUUUAGUGUUUUGUAAUCUAAGUUGGAUUAAUGAUUUUUUUUGUACUUUUUUUAGGCUGUUGCUUCACCAACCUGUUUUAAUUUUUCACCUUUUGUGAUUCUUUUAUGUUCUUUUGUUGUGUAAUGUUCCAUUUUGUCUCAACUUUGCUUUCACUUGACCAUAUAUUUUUUAUAGCAAUUUUGUUGGAUGAAUUGGUGAUAGUGGACUGGUGCAAAAGGACAUUCAAAAGAAUCUCUGUUUCCUAAAUCAGAUAACUUUUUCCUUUAGCUUUGCAGUAAAUGUUUCUUCUUCCUUUAUCUGCUUCCUUCAUGUUACUCCAUAUAUGUUUUUUUUUACAGAAAAAAGGCAUGGGGAAGAAGUUGAUUGAAUAGGUAAGACAAGUAAAGAAAUUGAGAGGAAAAGAAGAGGGUCCCUGUCACAGGCUAACGAUCUUUGUACGUAUAUGUCAAAGUUAAACCUUACAAGGCUGUCACAUAACCAGACUCUUAGUUGCUGAAGAAAAUGUUAUGCAUACAAAGUGUGUUCAAGAGAAUAACACAAUAGUAGCAUAAGUGGUUUUUUUUUAUUGAGAAUGAGAGAAGCAAGGGCCAAGUUUAUAGCAGAGAGUCUCAUCAUUUGAGGGUCUCAUAAUAUCAUUUCAUUGAAUAUUUCCUACAGGGUGUUGAAGAAUAUAUCAAAAUUUUUGCAAAAGAAGUGCAAGGGUUCAUCACACAAAUCUAAGGAACUCAACUAAGGAAGAUUCAAAGUGUCUCAAAGAUGUAAGGAAAAAAGAGGACCAAAUCAUAGCAACUUGGAUCUCACAGUACUAUCAACUGAGAAAUUGGUUUAUCAACAUAUAAAAAGAGGUCCACUGUGGUUUAUUUUUUGUACUGUGUAUUUGAUUCUAUUUGAUCUUUUUUCCCUGUUGAAUUAUUUUCUUUCUGUAUUUUUCUUACUUGAAAACCUUUUGCAUUAUGUUAUGCAGUUCAAGAAGUUAUGGUAAAUGAGAAUGUUCCAAUUAAAAUUCUGAUGUGCACAGUUGAGUUAAUUCUAAUUUCUUUUACUUCUUUUUUGUUGAAUGUUUGUGUAGAGCUAUAAGGGGCCAGUUGAAGGUUACAUCUUGAAUGUUUCUAUCUCUUCCUUUUCUCUGUUGUUGAAUGUAUGCAUUAACAGUAAAUGGUUUUAACUUUGUUUCUAUCUCUUCCUUUAAUUUUUCUUUCUUUAUUAUGCUAUGUAUUCCUAUUUUAUUAACUUAACAUUAUCAAACCUGUUUUAUUUACCCAGAUUUUUUUUGUUUUGCUUAUAAAUUGUUUGUUUUAUAUAGCAUUGAUUGUGUGUUCACCAACGGUUGUGAUUAAAAGCAUGUUCGUUUCCCCAUUAACUCUACAGUUUUCCGAACCACAUUUAUUCUUAAACGUUUUCCCCUUCCCAUUAACUACACUUUUUUCACUUCCCCAUACCUUUUGUUUAAUUCCUUUAUGCUUUGUAUAUAGAGUGUUUUUCACUUCCCCUAUUUUGAGGUUUAAUAUGGCUUGCAAAGAUGGAUUUUUCCUAAUUUAUGUCCAUGCUGCUUUUCAUUGUUUUUUUAGGUUUGCUGCAAUGAUGAAUGCUUAAACAUAUAAGCAGUUAUGUGGCUUGAUGAACCAGAGAAUGACUUCAAGACUAUGGUCUUUCAUGACAAAUGUUGGAAAGACUUGAAGUAUUUGAAAUUAAUAUUUGGUUUAGAGUAGUUAUUAGAUGGUAGGAGGUAGAUCACCCAUUGUUAUAAGAACCAAUGUAAUCAUUUUCCGAUGUGUAAAAAAAUACCAAUGUAAUCAGUGUUGUCUAUACAUGAAUCUCUUUUAAUGAAA
Long non-coding RNA from Lotus japonicus, 2830 nucleotides. RefSeq lists it as uncharacterized. NCBI's taxonomy places the organism in Eukaryota, Viridiplantae, Streptophyta, Magnoliopsida, Fabales, Fabaceae. The transcript has 5 exons. The record is from RefSeq and is a predicted model, not a curated record.